UGAGAGUACAGCGGCGGACGGGUGAGUAACGCGUAGGAAUCUACCUGGUAGUGGGGGACAACUCGGGGAAACUCGAGCUAAUACCGCAUACGCCCUAAGGGGGAAAGCGGGGGAUCUUCGGACCUCGCGCUAUUGGAUGAGCCUGCGUCGGAUUAGCUUGUUGGUGGGGUAAAAGCCCACCAAGGCGACGAUCCGUAGCUGGUCUGAGAGGAUGAUCAGCCACACUGGAACUGAGACACGGUCCAGACUCCUACGGGAGGCAGCAGUGGGGAAUAUUGCGCAAUGGGGGCAACCCUGACGCAGCCAUGCCGCGUGUGUGAAGAAGGCCCUAGGGUUGUAAAGCACUUUCAAUUGGGAAGAAAAGCUGUACGUUAAUAGCGUGCAGCCGUGACAUUACUUUUAGAAGAAGCACCGGCUAACUCCGUGCCAGCAGCCGCGGUAAUACGGAGGGUGCGAGCGUUAAUCGGAAUUACUGGGCGUAAAGCGCGCGUAGGCGGUCUGGUCAGUCGGAUGUGAAAGCCCCGGGCUUAACCUGGGAAUUGCAUUCGAUACUGCCAAACUAGAAUGUUGGAGAGGGAAGUGGAAUUUCCGGUGUAGCGGUGAAAUGCGUAGAGAUCGGAAGGAACACCAGUGGCGAAGGCGGCUUCCUGGCCAAACAUUGACGCUGAGGUGCGAAAGCGUGGGUAGCGAACAGGAUUAG
RNAcentral lists this ribosomal RNA (700 nucleotides) under uncultured bacterium. RNAcentral's name for it is "bacterial SSU rRNA". It matches the Rfam family "Bacterial small subunit ribosomal RNA", at positions 85 to 781 of the family's 1533-position model. The record is from RNAcentral.